AUUGAACGCUGGCGGCAGGCCUAACACAUGCAAGUCGAGCGGAUGAAGGGAGCUUGCUCCUGGAUUCAGCGGCGGACGGGUGAGUAAUGCCUAGGAAUCUGCCUGGUAGUGGGGGAUAACGUCCGGAAACGGGCGCUAAUACCGCAUACGUCCUGAGGGAGAAAGUGGGGGAUCUUCGGACCUCACGCUAUCAGAUGAGCCUAGGUCGGAUUAGCUAGUUGGUGGGGUAAAGGCCUACCAAGGCGACGAUCCGUAACUGGUCUGAGAGGAUGAUCAGUCACACUGGAACUGAGACACGGUCCAGACUCCUACGGGAGGCAGCAGUGGGGAAUAUUGGACAAUGGGCGAAAGCCUGAUCCAGCCAUGCCGCGUGUGUGAAGAAGGUCUUCGGAUUGUAAAGCCCUUUUAGUUGGGAGGAAGGGCAGUAAGUUAAUACCUUGCUGUUUUGACGUUACCAACAGAAUAAGCACCGGCUAACUUCGUG
Molecule: ribosomal RNA, 484 nt
Filed under: uncultured bacterium
Lineage: Bacteria
Description: partial 16S ribosomal RNA
Rfam family: Bacterial small subunit ribosomal RNA
Source: RNAcentral